Mesocricetus auratus (golden hamster) is the source of this 2917-nucleotide long non-coding RNA. RefSeq lists it as uncharacterized. The record is from RefSeq and is a predicted model, not a curated record. The transcript is spliced from 3 exons. Lineage: Eukaryota; Metazoa; Chordata; Mammalia; Rodentia; Cricetidae.
CCCUCUUGUGUUCGCCUUUCACUAGUUUGCGUUUUCUGCCCACCCCCAACUCGGAUGCAAAAAUUUCCCCUUUCAUCCUGGCCCGGUUCAUCUUUCCAGGAGGCUGGUAGGCCUAAGCUUCCAAUUCUGGCGAGGCCGUCUGUGGCGUAACUGGGCUUCCAAGCAUCGCCUUAGACCAUGUGGGGUUUGCGUGUCCCGGUCUCCUUGCGCGGCUCCGCGCUGCUGUCACCUGCUGGCCCGGGAGAAGACUCAACCACGCUUCCGUUUUCGUGGGUGUGCCCACUAGCAGUCGCUGCCAAUCUGAUGCGUACGGAGCAGCGGGCCGGUUCCAUCUUGUGUCUUCUAAUUUAAGCAAAAGAACAACAUGGCUGACAGCAUAAACAAACAGUCCUUCGGUGGUGCCCUUAUUGCCUUGAUUCCUGGAGCCUCCUCUGAAAUAUCCAAACUGACGGGUGCUCGAUUCCAUAGUGGGAAAUGGCAAUAUUUGCAAAUAACCGAUGCACAUCCUUCCUCCGUAUACUUCAGGUAAUCCCCAGUUUGAAAUGCUGUGAAAAUGCUGUUGGUGGAACGUGAAUUAACAGGCUGGACACAGCCAGGUGUGGCAGCACAGGGCGGUAACCUCGGCACUCAGGAUGCUGAGCAGUGAAGAUCAAGGGUUUCAGACCAGCCUGGGUUUUGCAGAGAUCCUGUCUCUGCAAGCAAGACAAAGCAAAUAAGAAACGGCAGGGUCACAGGGUCGACUUGCAGUGAGAGCUGAACUUGGCACACAAGGAGACAGUUAUAGGCAAACUCGGAUUCUUCCCCAAAUAAAUAGGACUGGAGGGACAGGCUCCUCCUACUCCAUGUCCUCCUCCUCCUCCUUGGAGCUCACUGUUUUGUAUUUUUGCGACGUAAACCGUGGAUGCAUUUGGAUAAGCUUUCUCUUCAGGGUAGAAACGGACUAAAUAGCGGUUGAUGCCUGACCCGACAUGGGUGCUAGGAAAACCGGUUCAUUCCGGACCCUCCAGUUCGUCACUGCGAUGGCUACCCUGCAAAGCACCUCAGCUCUGGGCCUCUGCUACAUGGCCACACGCCCUGCUCUAGCUCCCUGAUGGGGAGACAUCCCGAAUGGGGGAGCCUCAGGAGCAGGCGAAGAAAUGACCUUGUGUAUGCUGGGGUCCUGUUGAUGGAGACCCAGCCAGCCAACCUUUCCUCCGGAUCUUUCCAUGACAACGGAGGGGCAGACCCUUCGGCUCCCCACGGAAGCCUUCAGCAAGGCUCCUGAAGACCUGCUUGUGGGUGCAGACAAAAUGGUACCCACCUGUGAUCUGUGCCUCGGUAUCCAGAAUGGUUUUUCUUUCUUGCUGUUUUCUUUCUUGGGUUUUUGUUUUUUCCUUUCAUUGAUUUAAUUUUUUGUUCCUUCCCCUCUUUCUUCCUUUCUUCCUUCCUUUCUUUCUCUCUUUCUUUCUUCCUUUCUUUCUAACAUUUUCUCUUAGAGCCUGUUUUCAAAACCAGCUGAAUUGAGCUCAGGAAAAAAAAAAGGUAAAAGAAAGCAAAGCUUCUGGAAGUCAAGAAGGGAGAAAGCAAAUCUCAUGACUAUAGCUCUGACCUCAGCUGACUCAAAUAAGGUCUUCAUUACCGAACAAUUAGAGCCACCUACACAGGACAAAGUGUAUUUCCAGUCAACAGGUAGUAAUAGCCAAACCCCUGCCACAGCCAAGAAACAUUAGAGUGGAUUAUCCAUGAAGAGAGGAUUAGAAAAAGAGAGACCCAGAAUCCAGCAAAGGAGGCCCCAGCGGGCCAGCUGGCUAAUGUUUGGGAUAAUAACUCCAAACGUAUUAAAAUAAAUUGUAAGAAAGAAAAGGCUGAAGGCAAGAAAAGCAAGCUUCACACGAUACUGUAUAUUGUGGAUAAAAUCAUGUACAUUUGCAAUAAUCACUUCCCCGGAGGCAGGCAGUAAAGGCACCACCAGCAGAGACUGGUAGAAUUUAAAGCCACAAGCACACCGUGUGCUAGUCUGCUCUAGGGGCUGGGGGUGGGGGUGGCUCAUAAUAGAAGCCUGCCUCAUGGAAACUUCCCCUGGUCCCAUUCUUUUAUGACCUGAAAAUAGAUCUACAGACAAUAGGAAGGAGACAGGAGUAGAGCGUCUUCCACCAUCUCAGACUUGGCCUAGCUAAGAGAAGAGGCACCCAGGUCGCUAAUGGAGUCAGAGAAAAGCACGAUUUCUGGUUUCUGUGUUAUCGAGUUCAUGGGGUUCUCCAGCACGAGGCAGCAUCCCUUCUCCCCUCCACCCCCCAGCCUUCCUCCAACAGAGAAGGACUAGAACUCAGAAUGUAGCAACAUUCUCAUUUUCAGGAAGUCUACAAGCAUUAUUUACGACUAAAGUGCUGCCGGCCAGAGCCUGGGGCUAGCAUGCUCCUCCAAAGACUGUCGGAAGGUUGAUUCUCAGCCUGGUACUGCUGGGAGGCGGCGGCAGGGGAAGCUUUGAAGUCGGACCCUAUGGGAAUUCUUCUGGUCACUGGGACCCUUGAAGGUGACAAUGGGACCCAAUCUUUCUGCUUCCCUUUGGCUUGCUGUCCGUGAUCUGGAUUCCCCUGCCUCAGGUUCCUGGCAAACCGCACCAGAGCAAAAGGACCAAACCAAUCAGGAGUGGGAACCUCCAACUAUGAGCAACGCAAACCUCUUCUCUUCCUAAACUGUCCUGUGUAAAUGUUACAGAAAGAAAAAGCUGACUAAUGCACACCCUGCAAUUCUUCCCAUUCUUAGCAUGGGUCAGUGAUGAUACAUAAAUAAUAGCCUGUGCUUGGCACACAUCUCUGGACCAGUGAGGACGGAGGCUUCUGUCCCGCCUGGUCCCACAACCGCUCUGCCCCAAAUAAACACACAAAGACUUAUAUUAAGUAUUAAAUGCUUGGCCGAUGGCUCAGGCUUCUCAUUG